This is a non-coding RNA of Vicia faba (fava bean), 429 nucleotides long. Lineage: Eukaryota; Viridiplantae; Streptophyta; Magnoliopsida; Fabales; Fabaceae. The record is from the annotation of a GenBank genome assembly.
AUGAUCAAUGAUAGUAUCAAUCAUCUUUCUAUUGAAAAGUCUUUUAGAAUAAAGCAAGAUGAUAGAUUCUUCUCAAGGCUAAAAUCAAAAGAAGCUUCUAGUGGCAACACUUCAUCAAGAAUCUUGUAUUAUGGAGAAACAUCAAUUGCAAUUCCCUUUGUUUGGGAGGCACAACCUGGUACUCCUAAACACCCUUUGUCUCAAAUCUCUAUACUUCCCCUUACACCUCCACCUUCAUAUUAUUCCAAAAAAUCCAAUACUAAUAAAAAAAGAAAAUCCAAAAUCAAUGUUUUUUCAUGCAUUUUGCCAAGGUUAGUAGGUUCAAGGAAGACUACUCAUACUCAUGCAUCAUCAACAUCGCCAUCAUCUUCAUCAUCGUCUCCGUCUUCGUCGUCGUAUACGUAUUUGAUGAGAGACAACAAUCAUUGA